This 512-nucleotide ribosomal RNA is filed under the name uncultured bacterium. Its description in RNAcentral is "bacterial SSU rRNA". It matches the Rfam family "Bacterial small subunit ribosomal RNA", at positions 26 to 518 of the family's 1533-position model. The record is from RNAcentral.
AGGACGAACGCUGGCGGCGUGCCUAAUACAUGCAAGUCGAGCGGACCGACGGGAGCUUGCUCCCUUAGGUCAGCGGCGGACGGGUGAGUAACACGUGGGUAACCUGCCUGUAAGACUGGGAUAACUCCGGGAAACCGGGGCUAAUACCGGAUGCUUGUUUGAAUCGCAUGGUUCAAACAUAAAAGGUGGCUUUUCGCUACCACUUACAGAUGGACCCGCGGCGCAUUAGCUAGUUGGUGGGGUAACGGCUCACCAAGGCAACGAUGCGUAGCCGACCUGAGAGGGUGAUCGGCCACACUGGGACUGAGACACGGCCCAGACUCCUACGGGAGGCAGCAGUAGGGAAUCUUCCGCAAUGGACGAAAGUCUGACGGAGCAACGCCCGCGUGAGUGAUGAAGGUUUUCGGAUCGUAAAACUCUGUUGUUAGGGAAGAACAAGUACCGUUCGAACAGGGCGGUACCUUGACGGUACCUAACCAGAAAGCCACGGCUAACUACGUGCCAGCCGCCGC